CUCGCUUUCCUCUGUUUAAAAUCUACAUGGAUCACUACCACAAUCGUUACCUCGACUUCCGCCUUCCGUCGGCGCUGGUACUGCAUUGAAGAUCACCAAUUUCUCCUUCGUUCAUUUCUGUACUGUGCUCCAAUUUUGAAGCCCUAGUUUUACCAAUUGAAGCUUUGAUUAGGUAAUCACUUCCCCAAAAUUUGAUUAAGGUGUGAUUAGGGCUCGAAAAACUUCAAUUCGAGCUUAAUUACCCGCAUUUGAUGAUGUGUUCAUCAUUACCAAACGUCGAAGAUAUUGAUGCUACAUUAAUCAGGGGACAUACUACUAUGGGCACCCCCUUUUGCCUGAUAAAAAUGGAAGUGUUCCUUGCAUAUCUGGAGUCUUGACCUGUGAAGAGAUGGAUCAACUAUAUUUUAAUAAUUGGAGUAACUAUCACAUUUCCAAUUAUUAUCUUUUUUUUACGUAAACAAUUUGUAAGACUUUUUUUUCUAGGCCUUGAAUCGUGCAGGUGGUAAAACAUGGAAUAAGGGCACUGAGGCAGCUUUGGCUGAUGUAAGUUUCAUUUGAAGAGUAAUAGAUUAAUAUUUUGCAAUACUAUUUCAUCAACAUUGUUCAAAGGAUAUUGAGAAUGUAAAGGCAAUUAUUGCAAAAAAAUAAACUAUAAGAGUUAAAUUUUUUUUUGGGUUUUA
Molecule: non-coding RNA, 680 nt
Organism: Lactuca sativa (garden lettuce)
Lineage: Eukaryota; Viridiplantae; Streptophyta; Magnoliopsida; Asterales; Asteraceae
Source: RefSeq, a predicted model, not a curated record